Molecule: ribosomal RNA, 301 nt
Filed under: uncultured bacterium
Lineage: Bacteria
Description: partial 16S ribosomal RNA
Rfam family: Bacterial small subunit ribosomal RNA
Source: RNAcentral
CAGCAGCCGCGGGAACACGAAGGGUGCAAGCGCUAAUCGGAAUUACUGGGCGUAAAGCGUGCGCAGGCGGUUAUAUAAGACAGUUGUGAAAUCCCCGGGCUCAACCUGGGAACUGCAUCUGUGACUGUAUAGCUAGAGUACGGUAGAGGGGGAUGGAAUUCCGCGUGUAGCAGUGAAAUGCGUAGAUAUGCGGAGGAACACCGAUGGCGAAGGCAAUCCCCUGGACCUGUACUGACGCUCAUGCACGAAAGCGUGGGGAGCAAACAGGAUUAGAUACCCCAGUAGUCCCUGUCUCUUAUAC